AACAGUUGACGUUUCGGGCCGAGACCCUUCAUCAAGACUGGAAUCAUAAAAGAAACGGGCAGAAGGGCGGUCCUUUUGCUUACAAAGCCGGGACUCGGCGUGUGUGUGCUUCUGAGUAUGCCCAGCAGCCCGUUACGUGGAAUUGUGGCUCCAGGGCUGGGAAGGGAAUGGGAGAAGCAGGUGGCAAUUCAUUGGUUCAGCGGCUGGGAAUGUGGUGCUGGAGAUAGAAACUGGGCGGCUCGGGAGAACGCAGAGCGCGCACACACAGAUGACCAAAAUACGGUGGACGGCGGCGGUUUAUUAAUUAGUGUCAACUUCAGGCACAAAUCUCCGCACUCGUGAACAGAAGCCGAGAUACAAGAAAAAGAUCUAUUAAGAAUUCUUGGAGGCAUAGAGCUUAGAUUAUGCUUGGAAAACUUGUUUCCUUUCUCUUGGGCGAGAGAGAUGGUGAUGAUUGUGAAGAAAAGAGUGUCAUGAAUAACAUUCUUUAUGAGAACGUGGAGGAUGACUGGGUUAUGGUGGAUAUCCAAGAUCAGUAUCCAGUGCUGAAACUGGAAAAUGCUCCAGUAAAAAACCUCCUGACUGAGCACCCCAGCAUGUCUGUUUACUCUCUGAGGAUUACGAACAGUGACGGCGAGGAAGAAGCUGAGUUGGAGGAUCUGGAGAGUCUCAGCUCAGAUGUGAUGCAAGAGUUUCCAAUAUAAAAGUGGAGUGAAGAGGCAGUUUUACCAAUUCAUUACAACUAUCUUGAAAGUGUGAAUAUAUCCAAUAGUUAUCAAGCCAUUCAGCACAGAAACAGGACCUUCAGCUCACCAUCUAUAUGUGGACCAUCAAGUUUCUACAACGGCUAUACUAGUCCCAUUUAUCAGCACUUGUUCUUAGUCUUUUUGCCAUCGUGAUUCUGAUGUUCAUCCAGAUUAAAUUUUGUGAUAAUUUCUGCUCCAGAUUACAGCCACCCUCUUGGUGCUUCCUGCUUAUCAUGUGGCAACCAGAAUUGCAUUCAAUAUCCCAGCUGCGGCCAAACCCAUAGUUGUUAAAAAGACAAACUGUUGAAGGGGCUCAGCAGGUCAGCAGCAUUUGUCGGUCAGCUCUUUGGGUCAAGCUCUUCCUGUUCUUGUGUGCCAUGCCGCAGCUAAUGAAGGCAAGCAUCUCUCGUGCCUCUCCACCACCCUUUCUGCUUGUGCUGCCACCUCUUAGGCUUUGUACACCAAGGUCCCUUUGUCCCUCAGUGCUCUGCAGGGCCUCAGCAUUCUUGGUAUCCCAGUCCAUCCCUGGUUUCCAGUUUGGGUCCACCUUUAUCAGCAUGGAAUUGCUGAUAAAACCCAUGGCCGUGGUUGCAUGCUCAUUUAGGCUGAGUGCUGAGUCUUUGAGUGUAGAUCAGCUUCCUGACCCAAAGCAGUUUUGUAUAAGAUCAUCUGUUUCCUCAGACCAGCACUGUAUGACUUUCUGAACAGGAUCCUAGUGUUUCAGCUUCUGUUUGUAUUCAGGAAGAAAGAGCACAGCCUGGUGGUCUGAUAUCAAAAAGCUCAAUUAAAUUAGUCAGGAUAUCCCACCAACAUAUCCACCUUGAUUAUCCCUAAUCAUUCCCUACCUUUUCAAGCAGAUAUUAUUUACUUAUUUAUUGAGACGCGGUGUGGAAUAGAGCCACACUGCACAAUAACCACUAAUUCAGCCCUAGCCUAAUCAUAGGACAAUUUACAAUGACCAAUUUACCUACCAACUGGUACAUGCACCCAGAGGGAAUGGGGAGAAUGUACAAACUCCUUACAGGCAAUGUCCCGGGUUGUCUGUACUGCAAAGCGUUGUACUAACCUUUGCACUAUGGUGCCCCCUCAGAAUUUUCAGUACUUUUCCCUCAGUAUAGACAAACUGGCCUUUAGAAUUGACAGAAAAUAUUUGAGGAUGCUUCCAGGACCAGAGGGCCUAAGUAAUAAGGAGCGGUUGGCCGUGCUAAGUCUUUAUUCCUCGGAGCAUAGGAGAAUAAGGGGUGAUAAACUGGUUGGUAGCAAUCCUUUUGCCACAGUAGAGGAGUCUGAAACUAGGGGCAUAGCUUUCAGGUGAGAGGAAAAAACUGAAAAGGGACUUAAAGGGCAACCUUUUCAGAGUUUGAGGCAGGUACAUGGAGGGGUAUGGGCUGAAUGCUGAAAUUAAGACUAGAUGGGUGGUUCCUGUGCUUGUAUUGACUCACUGGGCCAAAUGGCCUGUAUCUCUGGUGCAUUGCUCAAUGACUCAUUGAAUAUAUAUUGUAUUCCCACUACCCUUCUUGAAUUAAGGCACCACAUCUGCUGAUCUGUAGUUUUCUAGCAUCUCACCUGUGGCACCUCACCAUGUACUGUAUAUGUGGACCAUCAAGUAUCAAAUAUCUUUGUCAGGACUCUAGCAAUCUCCUCCUUUGCCUUUCAUAGUUGCCAGGAAUAUACCUCCUCAGGCACUUGUCUACCUUUCUGCCCAUUAAGACAUCAAAUACCUCCCUUUUAAUUGUAAUAUGAUACAGAAUUUCACUACUCCAGCUGUAAUCUCCAUCUUCAUUAUCCUCCUCCAUAGUGAGUACAAAUGUAAGACCUUGCCAACUUACUCUGCCUCCAUGCACAGAUUGCCCUUUGGUUCCUAAGUAACCCUGAUUACCCUGGUUAUUUUAUUAAAAUGUAUGAGAUGCCUUGGAAUGUUCCUUAAUCUUGUCUCCCUGUGAUUUUCAUAGCCUAUCUUUACCCUGUUCAUUCUUGUUUAAGCAGCCCCCCUGCAAUUACUGAACCCUCCCGAAUUCUGAUGAAGGGUCUUGGGCUGAAACAUCAAUUGUUCAUUCCACUCCAUAGACACUAUUUGACUUGCUGAGCUCCUUCAGCAUUUUGUGUUGUUUCUCUGCAUUUCCAGCAUCUGCAGAAUCCCUUGUGUUUAAAGCUUGAAAACCUUUUGACACCCAGUGUUCACACAACUUCUUGUACUUACCUCUCACCUUUAUGGGAACACGUUGGUGCUGAGAACUCCUUAUUUCACAUUUAAAAUACUCCCAUUUUCCAAAUGUUGACUUGCUUUCAAGUAGCUGUUCCCAGCCUACAUUUGUCAGGUCCUGUCCUUUGAUAUGGAAAUCUGCCUUCCUCCAAUUGAGACACAAUUCCUGGCCUGUCCUUAUCCAUUUCCUUUACUACUUUGAAAACUUACCAAGUUACGAUCAUUAUCCGCAAAGGCUCACCCACUUUAUGCCUUCAGCUUUUGGUUUCAAAGCUGAUGCCUCCAAUUUACAUAUUGGUCAUUCUCUGUUCAAAACAUUGAAACUUUGUUGCAUAGUUUAUGGACGAUAUAAGGAUAAGUGGAGGUAGAUACAAAGGAGGGGAAGGUAGUUCUGAGGAAGUGGAGAAGGAUUUAGAUAGAUUGAGAGAAUGGGCUAAGAAGUGGCAGAUAGAAUAGAACGUGGGGGGUGUGGUCACGCACUUGGUAGAAGAAAUAAAAGGAUAGACCAUUUUCUAAAUGGAGAGAAAUUCAGGCGCAAAGGGACUUGAGAGUCCUUGUGAAGGAUUUCCUAAAGGCUAAUUUGCUGGUUGUGUCAGUGGUGAGGAAGACAAAUGUGAUGUUAGUAUUCAUUUCAAGAGGACUAGAAUGUAAAAGCAAGGAUGUGAUGUUAGGCUUUGUAAAGCACCGGUGAGGCCUCACAGAGUAUUGUCAGCAGUUUUGGACCCCUUAUCUCAGAAAAGAUGUGCUGACACUGGAGAGGGUUCAAAGGAGCUUCACAAAAAUGAUUCCAGGAUUGAGUGGCUUGUCAUAUGAAGGGUGUUUGAUGGCUCUCAAAUUACUGGAAUUCAGAAGAAUGAGGGGUGACCUAAUUGAAACCUAUUUGAAUGUUGAAAGGCCUUGAUGGAGUGGAUGUGGAGAGGAUGUUUCCUUUGCUGGGAGAGUUUAGGACCAGAAGACACAGCCUCAGAAUACAGGGGUGUUGUUUUAGAACAGAGAUGAGGAGAAAUUUCUUCAGCUGGAGAGUGGUGAAUCUGUGGAAUUUGUUGCCACAUGCCGACUGUGAAGGCCAAGGCUUUACGUAUAUUUAUGGCAGAGGUUGAUAGAUUCUUGAUUGGUCAGGACAUGAAGGGAAACGGGGAGAAGGCAGGAGAUUGGGGCUGAGAGGGAAAAUGGAUCAGCCAUGAUGAAAUAGCGGAGCAGACUCAAUGGGCCAAAUGGCCUAAUUCUGCUCCUAUAUCUUAUGGUCAUUAUGGUUUUACAAUAAACUGGCCUAAAAUUUACCUUUCUAGUUCAUUACACUUGUCAACCAGCAGCUGAGUUGAAUAUUAGGUAUAUGUACUGAUCUUUCCGGAAGAAAUUUGCAGCUUGCUCAUUUUUACCCAUAAUCCAUUCUGGAGUCAGCACAUAACUAAUGUUCCUUUAAAUGCACAGUGAAAUUUGGGCUGACCUGGUACUUUCAUUGAGAAUUUGUCUUUUGUUAUUCAGUCAAUAUGAUUUAAAUAUUUGCACAGCAGAAUCUUAUUUUGCAAGCUGUAUUUGUUUAAUAGAAGCAUGUACAGAUUCUUGUGUUCUAAGAUAGCAUCAAUUUCUUAGUAGGUAUUUCAUGCUGAGGUAUUGUGAAGUGUUAUUGGGUGAAUUGUGAUCAAUAUUUAGCUUUUGUGCCUUAUUGCCUUUAGUAUAUGAAUUCAGAUGCCAUUUCUAAGAUAUCAAUCAUAGUGGAGAGUUGCAUGAUUGUGCUGCAGGCAAUUCACCAGAACCUAUAGUUAAUAUAAAAAAACUCAGCAUUACUAACAAUAUUUUGCUUCAGGGCAACAAAAAUGAUAUUUGUUAUGCAUUGUUAUAACACUUUUGACCUUUAUUUCCAGCCCCGAUGAAUGACUAAAACUAUCUUGUUUCCUAUUAUUUCUGUAAAAUCAAUUCUUUCACCUUGAGUGAAUGCUAUCAUAAAAACAUCAGUAUUUCUCUAAUGUGGAAUUCAUGAAUUGGUGAGUUUGAUUUGAUAACCCUUUAUGAUUCCACACCAUAGUUAGUAAGGGAAUAAAGUAGAAGGAUAUUUCUGGGCAGCUCAGAUUUCUUUAGGUACCAAUUUAGCCAGCUAACUUGAGCCUUCCUGGAAAAAACAAUUCAAAUAAAUCUUCCUGGACAAGAUCUGGGAGCCGGGUGCAAGUUGUGUGUUACAGGUAUCAAGAGAGCUCUGUGUUUGAUUUUCCACACUUGAGUGAUUGAGAACAUCUGUAAAGGUAGGAUCCUAGCAAGGAAGCAGUAGAGAGAGAGUAGGAAGAGUGAUUAAUGGUUAAAAAGGAGAAAAUAUAUAUGGGUAAUUUAAAGGGUGGAGUUAACUGCUUGGUAGUGUAGUGGUGAGAUGGGGGAUGGAAAUGGGAGAUGAAAAGUGAUGCCAUUAAAAGACUGGAAAUUUAGUUCAGCCUGUUUAUCAGAGUAAGAUUAGCCCAGCCAAUGCCUUAACAUAAUACCUCUAGGUCUCCUGGCCUUCAAGGCUAAACAAGCUUAUUGAUAUAUGGAGCUCAAUUUCAGCUGCAUAUUGCAACCAAUAACCUUGGUGGGUUCUGGGGUUAUCUAAAGAACAGAUGGACCAAGGAUUUGCUGGCUUUAGUAUUGUAUUCUGCUGGAGGCUGUAAGAAAACCAGUUCAAUUAGUUCCCCUGUGGACAGGGUGGAGAAGCCUGCAGGUGAACCUUGAGAAGAAGCCAGUGAUGGUCACAGAAAUCAAAAACACUCAUGCUCUCCCACUCAGGAAUUUGAUGCCUUGCACAAACACAUGCGGAUGGUAGGUUUUCCAAGGCUCCAAAAUACAGGAGAUAUCUUGGCUAAGAGUAUCGCAAUAGGGUUCUGAGCGGUUCCAUCUCCAUUUGUGUCCAAAGGGCUGUGCUAUGUAGGAGUUUGAGGAAGUAGAAAUGGUGUUAAUUUAUUGUUAUUUUUGACAAAUAUUAAUUGUUAAUACCAACUUUUCAAACACUGUCUGACAAAUAACCUUUUGAAUUCCAUGGAAUAGUGAGAAGUCCUGCUGUGGUUUAUUGAGAGCCUGAUCAAAGCAUCCAUUGCUGUACAUCAGUAUGUUUUACACGGAAGAAACUGGUUUGGCAAUAGAUUUUGCAUUUAUGUCUCAGAAGGUUGAACUGAGGGUGUCUAAGAGCUGCUUUUGCGUACAGACCAGCGCAGUCAAUGUAUUGCUCCUCUUGCCUUGUCUGCAAGGGGCCCGAGCGAGAUGAUGAAGAAGCUCUUUUCUGGCUGUGUGACUUCUCAGAUAGCAGAUGAAGCAGUUGUUGAAAGCACUUGCAUUGUUGGGGAAGGAAGCAGGAGAGUGUGAUGGGUGCUUUGGGAUGUGAAGUCAACAGUCCGCUUGUGUACACUGGACUUCUGUGUUACCUGGUCUCAAGCUUCUCAGUGAAAUCCUGAAUAUUGUUUCUCUGCUUUGAUCGAUCACAAGCCAGGGGUUGAUCUGGAUAUUAUAUUGUUUAAAGGAGUCUUUGUGAACAUUCAUGAUUUUUUUUUCUUUUGUCCACCCGCCAGUCUCUUCCUGUCACACAAUUUGGUUUCACCACUGCUGUUCUGGAGAUCGUAAAAGACUGAAAGCUGGAGUGGCUGCUCAUUUUGAUUGACAUUAUUGAUGGCCAAUCUGGCUUUCUUUACAGUAACAGCUGUCUGCGGGCUGCUGAUUAGGAAAUCUGGCAAAUGCCUCCCCCCGCCCCCGUGGAACCCCAGUGUGAAGGAGAUGAUGUCUUGGUUUACUGGUGAAGUGUGGCCAGCAGAAAGCAGACUUUACCCCUGGAGCUCACCAAUAAGCAGCACGCUGAGCCACUGGUGUACGGCUACACCAAGGAAGCUGUUCCUCUCGGCACCCUCCUACAGGUUGUGUGUGUUGUUCCCGCUGCUACACAGCUGGGGAGCAGUCAUAAUGGGUUAUUGAGACUCGGGCUAUUGAUGUCCUCCCCUAGUCCUCUACUAAUGUCUCUUCUAGAUCACACUGCCCCUGUGCUACAGAGGGCAUCCAGCAGGUAGUAGCUGUGACUUUGGCAGCCAGACCACAAAGUUUAUGAACAUCUCACAGAAUAUAGGAAAGGUACCUUCUACCCACCAGUGAGCAGGACUUCUGCAGAGGAAACCUUUCCCUUAUUUGAGAAGCAAGAGAGGGGUUUCUAUGGAAUUGCAUGUCACCUCUUCAGCUGGCAGGGAGUAGUGAAUCUGUGGAAUGCUCUGCCACAGACUCCGGUGGCGGCCGGGUCUGUGGGUAUAUUUAAAGCGGAAGUUGAGGGUUUCCAGAUUGGUCAGGGCAUCAAAGGAUAUGGCGAGAAGCAGGUGUAUGGGGUUGAAUAGGAUCUGGGAUCAGCCAUGAUGGAAUGGCAGAGCAGACUCGAUGGGCUGAAUGGCCUAAUUCUGUUCCUAUGUCUUAUUGCCAUAUGGUCAUCCAAAGGCUUUGAAUCACAGAAGAAUGUGAGGAAGCUCAGGAAACCAUGCACUCCUAAAUGCCAUUAAGAUUGUUCUCAGAGGAUGAUUCACACCUAAUCUCUCUUAAGGUCAGACACAUCAGCUUGCUAACAUGCCGUCAAUUUUAACUCAACUCUGCCAAAUCCAUCCACCCACCAGUUAAAAUGAAACAACUCUUGGGAUCACCAGUCUGGGAAGGUUUGCUGUUUUGCCUUACAAGUUCUAACAUAGUGAACAGUGAGUGCUUCUGGGUAAUUGUCCAAUGGGACAAUGUUCCUGGAAGGAAUACCGGAAUGAAACUGUUGAUACUGAAAUGUGAAACAAAAACAGAAGUGCCAGAUGAACUCAGUCAUGUAGCUUCUGUGGAAAGAGAAAUCAAUCAUUGUCCCAGGUCAGUGAUGGGAGAAGGAAUCAGAGUCAGGUUUGUUAUCAUCGACAUACUGUAUGCCAUGAAAUCCGUUGUUUUUGUGGCAGCAGUAUACCCAUAGUAAUACACUCUGCUCACACAUGACUGCAUGGACAAACAUCUGGGUAAUCACGUUGUCAAGUUCACCGAUGACAUGCCAGUGGGGCUCAUCUUAAGCAAUGAUGAGAUGUCCUACAGACAGGAUGUGGAAGAGCUCAAGGCCUCUAGCUUGCUAAAUAACCUUCCACAAUGUCAGCAAGACAAACAAAAUGGUUGCAGAGUUCAGGCGAGCGUGCACCACUCACACCCCUCUUUACACCGGCAGCACAGCAGUGGGAACUCGAGCAGUUUUAAUCCCCUGGGAGAGCACAUCUUCCACAACCUCUCGUGGUCCCAGAGCACAUUCCACACACUCAGGAAAGCUCACCGAUGUCUCUACGAUCUGAGGUUGCUGAAGAGAGCUAGACUAUGCACACCUGUGUUCAGGUCAUGCGCAGUAGAGAGCGUCCUAACAUACAUUGCUGCAUGGUAAGGAAACUGCAUGGCAGCAGACAGGAAAGCUUUUAGGGCGGCGCAGCUGAAGCACAGCAAUGACUUGUUGGUAACAAAUAAAUCUUCUAAUUGCCUCAGUAAUCAUACUUUGUCUCAAACAAUCACUGCAAUCAAUAGCCUGUGACUUCCCUUUUGGACCACCAGCACAAGCUGGCAUUUUUGCAGUGUGAGCUUGAGUCUAGAAGGUGCAGGAUGGUUUCUGCUGGCCUGUUCAGGCCGAAUUGAGGUGGUGUGUUCUGGCCCAAGAACGUAUCGAAGUGGCAGGGCCUGGGUCUGAGAGUGAAGAAUGACCCACUAUUUGGCCGAUUUAAGCGCAAGGCCGAAUUGACAAGAUUAAAGUGUCGGGGCCAGGGGAGAGGGAUGAGCCAGUGUUCAACUCACUGAUGCCAGGUUUACUCAUCUCUGUGCUGAACUGAGGCUGUGGCCUGCAACAAAUGGUCUCCUGCGUUGGCUGUAACUGGCUUUGUGGCUGUGAUCUUCAGUUCUGAAUAUUAUUUGUGUUCUUUUAUUGGUUGCACGAUUCUUUUCCCUGCACAUUCAGUGUUUGACGGUCCUUUUUCAAUGUGUUCUAUUGGUUUUCUUUGUUUUUUGUGGCUGCCUGUAAGGAGCUGAAACCCGAGUUUGUAUGUACAGUAGUGUACAUACUUUGAUAAUAAAUGUACUUUGAACAAUGGGUUGUCAAAACUGCCCAACACAUCAUUGGCACCAGCCAAUGCACCAUCAAGGACAUGUAUGCAGAAAGGUGCCGGAAAAGGUCCAGUAGCAUUAUGAAGGAUCCCACUCACCCCGCUCAUGCACUGUUAGUCCCAUCACAUCAGGAGCAGACUGCAUAGCAUCCCAACUGGGACUACCAUACUCAAAGUUACUUUCCCCAAGCAGUAAAGCUGAUCAACAACACCACCCACUUACCCACCACCACUACCAUUUCCUGUAAGCCACCUUAUGUACAGUCACUCCUGUGCCAAGUGUCAAUUUAUGGGCAAUAUAUCUAUGCAUAUAUGUCAUUUUAUAUAUUUAAUGCUUUAUGAUUGCGUUCUCUAUCUUAUUGAUUUUUGUGCCUCAUUGGAUUCAGAGAAACAAUUAUUUUGUUCUCCUUUACACUUGUGUACUGGAAAUGACAUUAAAUAAUCUUGAAUCCUGAAAAGAGGAAUAGCGAGUGUUGUUGUGUAAAUGAAAUCACCGGACAGAGAGUUACUGGUAGAUCCAAAGCAGCUUCUUUAUUCGUCAAAACCAGGUACAGCAGGUAACAUAUGGAGAUGCUUUCAGUGGAAAGGUCUGCUGGCCCAUCGUGGGGGUCGAUAUUUAUUUGCUAAACACAAAGGACAAUUCCAUAUUUACAAAGUAUAGACAAUGCUUUCUUGUGACGCUACAUACAAUCUUCAGUCCUUGUGGUUCACAUCCAUCUCAUAUGCACCAGCAGCAUCUGGACUGGGCUUUUAGGAAUCCAUUGUUCCAAACUGAAUCCAUAAUACAUUUAUUUGGUAUUUUACGUGCUAAACAUAAAGGACAAUUCCAUAUUUGUAAAAUAUAGACGCCACUCAUGGUUUUCCAUCAGUUUUAGGCAGCGCCUGUCUUCAAAGCUGGUGUCAGCUUCAUAGCACAGGGCUCACCAGCGGGUUCUGUCAGCAGCUGCAGCUUCCCUUGGCUGGAUGUCACAGUAGCGUAGGGUUUCCUUCACAGUGUCUUUGUAGCGCUUGCAUGGACAACCUUGAGGUCUCUUUCCGGUCUCCAGUUCACCAUGAGCAGCUGGUGAGGCAUACGGUGGUCGUCCAUUCUGAUGACAUGUCCCACCCACCGCAUCUGGGCUCUGAUGAUCAGGGACUCAAUGCUGGAGGACUCUGCGUGAUCCAACACCUCUAGGUUGGAGAUACGGUCUUGCCAACAGAUGCCAAGGAUGGAGAGGAGGGCGGGCAUGUGAAAUUUCUCCAGCUGUUUGAUGUGUCAUCGGUACAGAGUCCAGGUCUUGCAUCCAUAUAGGAAAGAAGGGAUGACCACAGCUCUGUAGACUUUCAGCUUUGUGGAGAUGCGGACGUUGUGUUGAUUGAGCACUCUGGUACGCAGCCUCCCCAGAGCCUGGCUGGCCUUGCUGAUCCUGGAGUCAACCUCUUUGUCCAAAGACCCAUCACUCGAGAGAUGCUUCCCAAAUAUUUGAAGCUGUUUACAUUUGUCAGCUGGGUGUUGUCAGCAGUGAUUUUUGGUUCUAUGGGGUUGGUGUUUGGCAUGGGCUGGUGAAGUACUUCAGUCUUGUUCAGGCAGAUAAUCAGGCCAAAGGACAUAGCAGCGUCUGAGAAUUUGUUCAGCAUUAACUGUAGAUCACUCUUUGUGCGCCAGUCAUCAGCAAAGAGGGUUUCUUGAGUGACUGUGUGGAGGCACUUCGUCCAUGCGAUCAAGCAGUGAAGGUCAAAGAGAGAGCCAUCCAAUCGGUACCUGAUGUACACUCGCUCCUUCAGACCUUGGACAGCACGUGACAAUAUGCAAGUGUAGAACAGAUUGAACAGGACUGGGGCUAGUACACAGCCCUGCUUCACCCCAUUGGAAAUGGCAAGUGCAGCUGACGUAUCACCACUGCAAAGGACCUGUCCCGUCAUUCCGUCGUGGAGCAGCUGAACCAUCUUUAUGAAUGCUGUCUUUGAAACUACAUGCAAGCUCCACAUCUUCUGGUUCACAUCCAUCCCACAGAUGCCAACAUCAUCUAUGGACUGGGAUUCACAGCUUUUAGGAAAUGCAUUGUUCCAAAUUAAAUCCACAAUACAUUGUCAAUGAACAGAACGCUAGUAGCCAAAACCAUUUGCAAAGACCUAAAUGUAAAUGACCUAAACCCAAAAAUCACUCAAACAGUGAGAUGGUAUUCAUGGACCGUCAGAAAUCUGAUGGCAGAGGGGAAGAAGCUGUUUCUAAAACACUGAAUGUCCAUCUUCAGGCUGCUGUUUCUUCUCUCUGAUGAGAAGGGGGCAUGUCCUGGAUAGUCAGGGCCUUUAAAAGGAAGGAGGAAUAUCAGCUUUUGAAGCAGAGCUGGGGGUGGGGGAGUGAGGAAUAAGGUAAAAGACCGUAUAAAAUUGCGGUUGAGACUGAAUGGGUGAUGAAGAGUGUGAGUAUUAACCAUUAGUGAGGCAUUUUUUAGUAAUGGGGACAUAAGCAUGGUAAUGGAAAUGAUGCAAGCAAUUUAGUUGAAGCUGGAAAAAAUUCAAUGUGUAUUCAAAGUUGCAUUGUGCUCAGAUAGGGAUAAAAUGUUCUAGUUUACUUUGGGCCUUGCUGUGAUAGUGGAGGAGGCCACAGACAGUUUGUAAUAGGAGUGGGAUUGAGAAUUAAAGUGGCUGACAUUAGGAAGUACGGGAUCACCCUCCGAGAACUGACCAGCAUGCAGAAUGUGUUUGUUGAACUUCUUCAAGAUAAGGUUGGUCUGUCAUCUUUUAUUGGUUGCCCUUUAAAAAUUGUCAUGUGACGAAUUGCUCUCUGGGAAAAGCUCUUGAAUAAAUGAUAACACUUUGAGCUUCUUGAGUAUUUUGUUUAAAUAGGCUCUGUCACUGAUAGUUUACACUAACUAUUUGCAAGUAGAAGAGGAGGAUUUCCUAAAAGGCUUUUCAAUACAUCUCUUGGUUAGAUGAUUAUUGUAAAAUAAUCUGGUGAAUUAUUUAUCAGAAGCCUUUUUUUAAAAAGGAAAUGAUGCAUUUUCUAUCACAUUGUUAUUCCAUCCUAUUAUUAUAGUUUUGUCAUACAGGAAACUGCAGUCAAACUUCCUAUAAUUAAAGCAGCAUUAAGAGUUAAACUUUUACAAUUAGGUGAACUUUUACAACCUGAAUAUACAAACAGUACAUGCUAGUUUUAUAGAAAGGAGUUACCAUGGUAUUGCAGCAAAUAUCCCAAUGUAGUCAGAAUUUAUAUAAUACAACCUAUUAAAUUCAGGCCUCUUCUCCU
RNA transcript from Hypanus sabinus (Atlantic stingray), 12264 nucleotides. RefSeq lists it as uncharacterized. The transcript has 4 exons. The record is from RefSeq and is a predicted model, not a curated record. NCBI's taxonomy places the organism in Eukaryota, Metazoa, Chordata, Chondrichthyes, Myliobatiformes, Dasyatidae.